UAUUAUCUAAAACCAUCUAUUUUAGGAAAGUUAUCAGUUUUUUAGAGAAAUAUUGUAAAUUUGAGAUUGUGAUUUAAAAACUAGGAUAACAAGAGUUAUUGUUGAUAGAUGGGUAUGCUUUCAGAAUUUUUGAUCAACAUGUUAUAAUUAUUUUAAAAAAUUCCAAAACCAUCUAUUUUUGUAAAGUUGUCAUUUUGUAGAUAAAUAUUGCAGAUUUAGAAUUGUGAUUUAGAAAUUAGGAUAACAAGAGUUUUUGUUGAUAGAUGUGCAUGCUUUAGAAAUUUUGAUCAAUAUGAUAUAUCUUGUAGAUAUAUUAUCUAAAACCUGUUAUUUUAGGAAAAUUAUCAUUUUUGUAGAGAAAUAUUUUAGAUCUGGGAUUGUGAUUUAAAAAUUAGUAUAACAAGAGUUUUUGUUGAUAGAUGGGUAUGCUUUUAAAAUUUUUGAUCAAUAGGUUAAAUCUUUAAGAUAAAUUUUCUAAAAUCUGUUAUUUUAGAAAAGUUAUAAUUUUUUUAAAGAAAUAUUGUAGAUCUGAGAUUGUGAUUUAGAAAUAAGGAUAACAAGAAUUUUUAUUGACAUAUGGGCAUGCUUUUAAUUUUUUUGAUCAAUAUGUUAUAAUUUUUAAAUAAAUUUUCCAAAAUCUGCUAUUUUUGGAAAGUUGUCAUGCUAUUGAUAAAUAUUGUAGAUUUGAAAUUGUGAUUUAGAAAUUAUGAUAACAAAAGUUUUUGUCGAUAGAUGGGUAUGCUUUUAGAGUUUUUGAUCAAUAGGUUAUAAUUUUUAAAUGAAUUUUCCAAAACCUGCUAUUUUUAGAAAGUAGUCAUGUUGUUGAUAAAUAUUGUUGAUUUGUAAUUGUGAUUUAGAAAUUAAGAUAACAAGAGUUUUUGUUGAUAGGUGGGCAUGCUUUUAGAAUUUUUAAUCAAUAGAUUAUAUUUUAAAAUAAAAUUUUAAGAACUGUUAUAUUUGGAAAGUUAUCAUUUUGUUAAUAAAUAUUGUAGAUUUGGGAUUGUGAUUUAGAAAUUAGGAUAACAAAUGUUCUGGUUUAUUGAUUGGUAUACUUUUAGAAAUUUUGAUCAAUAGGUUUUAUCUUGUAGAUAUAUUAUCUAAAACCUGCUAUUUUAGGAAAGUUAUCAUUUUUGUACAGAAGUAUUUUAGAUCUAGGAUUGUGAUUUAAAAAUUAGGAUACCGAGAGUUUUUGUUGAUAGAGGGGUAUGAUUUUAGAAUUUUUGAUCAAUAAGUUAUAAUGUUUAAAUAAGUUUUCCAAAACCUACUAUUUUGGGAAAGUUAUCAUUUUUCUAGAGAAAUAUUGUAGAUUUAGAAUUGUGAUUUAGAAAUUAGGAUAACAAGAGUUUUUGUUGAUAGAUGGGUAUGAUUUUUUAAUUUUUUAUCAAUAGGUUUUAAUUUUUAAAUAAAUUCUUCAAAACCUGCUAUUUUUGGAAAAUUAUCACAUUUGUAGAGAAAUACUAUAUAAUUGAGAUUGUGAUUUAGAAAUAUGAUAACAAGAGCUUUUGUUGAUAUAUGGGUAUGCUUUUAGAAUUUUUGAUCAUUAGAUUAUAUUUUAUAAAUAAAAUUUCUAAGAACUGCUAUUUUUGGAAAGUUAUCAUUUUUGUAAAGAAAUAUUGUAGAUUUGGGAUUGUGAUUUAGAGAUUAGGGUAACAUGAGUUUUUGGUUAUAGAUGGGUGUAUGGUUUUAGAAUAUUUGAUCAAUUUUUAGAUAAAUUUUCCAAAACCUGCCUUUUUUAGAAAGUUAUCAAUUUGAUAGAAAUAUUAUAGAUCUGUGAUUUUGAUUUAGAAAUUAGAAUAACAAGAAUUUGUUU
This 1810-nucleotide long non-coding RNA is filed under the name Brassica napus (rape). Its description in RNAcentral is "long non-coding RNA (BNAP_LNC022276)". Lineage: Eukaryota; Viridiplantae; Streptophyta; Magnoliopsida; Brassicales; Brassicaceae. The record is from RNAcentral.